AGGGGCUAGGGGCUAUUGGUAGCUGGCUCUCUAUAAAUUCAGCAGGACGGAGGAGAUAUUUCCACUUUCUUUGCCUUAGAACUUUGGACAGUUGGACAGCGUAUUAGUAGCUAUUCCCUUUAGAGGUCUUAACUCUGACAUCAUGAGUGGAAACACUCCAGCCGAUAAAGGGGACAGCAGUGAUGAGUAUUGUGGUUCUUCCUCAGGUAGUUCCUGCUCAUUCCAGGAAUGCUGGGAGUCCAAUGUGCCCGAGCUGAUCUGCAAGGAGGAGUCCUUGGAUGAUGACCUUCCUGAUUCUGAGCUUGCCAUGGAGCCUUCACCCUCCCAAGACAUGGAAAUCAAAGGAAUCAUGUCCCGCAAAGGCAAAGGCGGUAGCUAUGCCAGGGGCAGACAGAGGGCUUCUAUCAUCAAAGCUGGAAGAGGAAAAGGAGAUCCUCAGCAGGCCACUAGAAAGGAUCUGAGAAAGACCGAAGAAAAGGGGGAUACUCUGCUGGCAAUCCAGGAAGAAAAGGAGAAGGAGAAGGCAGGGGAGGCCAUGUCUGAGGAUGUCGAGAACAACAAUGACCAGCCACAAUCUGAGGCCACCAUGGAGAAAGAGGGCGAAGGUGGUGGUGACUCCUUCGGAAACCGCGCGUAAGCGGCAUCAGCCUGGAGAAGGAAGAGGCCCUGAAGAUCCAGGCAGCAAGGACCAGCUGGCCUAGCUUGAGGAUGAUGGAACAGCAGCCCUGAAGGAGCCCAAGGGCAGCAGAAACAGCAGCCAGGGCCGGCGGCACCCACCAGUGCCUGACCCCUCCUGGGGCCCCAUCCUCGAGCCAGCCCCACCAGGUCCUCCCCCUCGGGAUCUCGGAGCAUCUGCUCCCGUGGCCUCCUGCUUGGCCUCUCCAGGCUCCUUUGCUCCCUCUCCUUCAUGCUUUCCCACUUCCUGCGGUCUCCCAGGAGACAUAGUCAAACCUCCCUAGUUGGGCUUUUCUCACUUUUUGACACCUUUUUUCAGUUGAGCAUUAAAAAAAAGCAAAUUGCUCCCUUGGUGCUUUGGUUUGGUUCUUUCAGGGGGGCUGCUGGGCUGGGGAGGGAGGGGAGGGCAAAGCCCCGAGUUCCUGGGAGUUUCUGUCCUUGAGGACCCAGCAGAGCAGCAAGGGCCCCCCUGGGGCCAGGGGGGGACCAUGUGGCCUGGGCGGAGACCCCAGUGUCUUGGACAGACUCCCCCCUGCCACCCAGUCACCCUGGCCAGCCCCAGCCCCAGAGCCUCUUGGCUAAAGCCCUCAGCAGGGCAGGGGCCUGGGGUUUGGGCCUCAGGGAGCCAGCCUGUGGGCGGGGGCGGGGGGCAGCAAGUCCCAG
This 1338-nucleotide long non-coding RNA is filed under the name Monodelphis domestica (gray short-tailed opossum). RNAcentral describes it as "lncRNA (ENSMODG00000031059.2)". Lineage: Eukaryota; Metazoa; Chordata; Mammalia; Didelphimorphia; Didelphidae. The record is from RNAcentral.